GAUGAAGAACGUAGUGAAAUGCGAUAAGUAAUGUGAAUUGCAGAAUUCAGUGAAUCAUCGAAUCUUUGAACGCACAUUGCGCUCGCCAGUAUUCUGGCGAGCAUGCCUGUUCGAGCGUCAUUUCAACCAUCAAGCUCUGCUUGCGUUGGGGAUCCGCGUCUGACGCGGUCCCUCAAAAACAGUGGCGGGCUCGCUAGUCACACCGAGCGUAGUAACUCUACAUCGCUAUGGUCGUGCGGCGGGUUCUUGCCGUAAAACCCCCAAUUUCUAAGGUUGACCUCGGAUCAGGUAGGAAUACCCGCUGAACUUAAGCAUAUCAAUAAGCGGAGGA
This 331-nucleotide unclassified non-coding RNA is filed under the name soil metagenome. Its description in RNAcentral is "partial contains 5.8S ribosomal RNA, internal transcribed spacer 2, and large subunit ribosomal RNA". The stretch from base 1 to 120 matches the Rfam family "5.8S ribosomal RNA", at positions 35 to 154 of the family's 154-position model. The record is from RNAcentral.